This 468-nucleotide ribosomal RNA is filed under the name uncultured bacterium. RNAcentral's name for it is "partial 16S ribosomal RNA". It matches the Rfam family "Bacterial small subunit ribosomal RNA", at positions 28 to 507 of the family's 1533-position model. The record is from RNAcentral.
GACGAACGCUGGCGGCGUGCUUAACACAUGCAAGUCGAACGGAAAGGCCCUGCGUUUGUGGGGUGCUCGAGUGGCGAACGGGUGAGUAACACGUGAGUAACCUGCCCUUGACUUUGGGAUAACUUCAGGAAACUGGGGCUAAUACCGGAUAGGAGCUCCUGCUGCAUGGUGGGGGUUGGAAAGUUUCGGCGGUUGGGGAUGGACUCGCGGCUUAUCGGCUUGUUGGUGGGGUAGUGGCUUACCAAGGCUUUGACGGGUAGCCGGCCUGAGAGGGUGACCGGCCACAUUGGGACUGAGAUACGGCCCAGACUCCUACGGGAGGCAGCAGUGGGGAAUAUUGCACAAUGGGCGGAAGCCUGAUGCAGCAACGCCGCGUGCGGGAUGACGGCCUUCGGGUUGUAAACCGCUUUCGCCUGUGACGAAGCGUGAGUGACGGUAAUGGGUAAAGAAGCACCGGCUAACUACGUG